RNAcentral lists this ribosomal RNA (572 nucleotides) under uncultured bacterium. Its description in RNAcentral is "bacterial SSU rRNA". It matches the Rfam family "Bacterial small subunit ribosomal RNA", at positions 214 to 783 of the family's 1533-position model. The record is from RNAcentral.
UUCACUUGAAGAUGGGCGUGCGUCUGAUUAGGUAGUUGGCGGGGUAACGGCCCACCAAGCCUACGAUCAGUAACUGGUGUGAGAGCACGACCAGUCACACGGGCACUGAGACACGGGCCCGACUCCUACGGGAGGCAGCAGUAAGGAAUAUUGGGCAAUGGACGCAAGUCUGACCCAGCCAUGCCGCGUGGAGGAUGAAGGUCCUCUGGAUUGUAAACUUCUUUUAUCUGGGAAGAAAAAAGGGAAUUCUUUCCCGUCUGACGGUACCAGAUGAAUAAGCACCGGCUAACUCCGUGCCAGCAGCCGCGGUAAUACGGAGGGUGCAAGCGUUAUCCGGAUUUACUGGGUUUAAAGGGUGCGUAGGUGGGCUGGUAAGUCCGUGGUGAAAUCCCCGAGCUUAACUUGGGAACUGCCAUGGAUACUAUUGGCCUUGAAUUUUCUGGAGGUUAGCGGAAUAUGUCAUGUAGCGGUGAAAUGCUUAGAUAUGACAUAGAACACCGAUUGCGAAGGCAGCUGGCUACAGAAACAUUGACACUGAGGCACGAAAGCGUGGGGAUCAAACAGGAUUAGAU